CUGAUUCAGCCCCUGGUCUGGAAACUUCCUUAUGCCCAGAGUGUGGCUCUAAAAUGAAAAAAAAAAAAAAAAACUGCCUGGGAAUUCUCUUGUUUCGCAGCAGAGUAGGAAUCCAGCACUGUCACCGCAGCAGCUUGGGUCACUGCUGCAGCAUAAGGUCAACCCCUGGCCCAGGAACGUAUACAUGCCACAGGCAUGGCUGAAAAACAAAACAAAAAAAGAUACUGCCUGUAUUUUUUUCUAAGAGUUUUAUGGUUUCAGCUCUUAUCUUUGGUGUGUCUAUUAUAGCAGCUGGAACAGCCUAAGACACCACAGGACCGUUUUCUCAUGUGCACAUCACAUUCGGUGUGCCUGGGUGGAAGUCUUUUGAGAAGGAUGCUGUGGGAAUGGGAAGAUACUGAGGUGUUUUCAGUUUCAGGAAUGGGUGGCUUUGUGGAGAGGGAAGUGGAGUGGUUGUGGUGACUUAGAGUUCUCUUUGCUGUGCUGUCCCCCCAGCAGACUCAGUUGUACAGAGGCGCAGUGAAAAGAGCAGAAUCAUCAUUUGUAGCUUCCAUGAGAAGGAACGCAGCCUUUUUGGAGGAGUAAUAUUUGCAAACGUGCGCAGAACUUGAGAAGUAUUCCCUGCAGAGCUGCGGUUCUUCAGGACUCUGGACAGCACAGAUCCUGAGACAGAGUCUGCGCUCAACAUCUGUUGAAUUGGAGACAGAGACCCAAGGAUCGUAGAGUUUAUUUGUUCUUUUCCUCGAGGAAUAAGCUGAACAUCCUCAGGCAGAGAAGACAGCCGUGAGGAUGCCAGAAUACGAUCGUCCUGGACCCAGGAAUCCUCAUUUACCUAGCCGGGUCUGCUUGAGGAGACAGACCGUCUGAUCUACCUCCGGGCCCCCCCCCGUAAACAGCAUGACACCUGCCGCAUACACACAAGGUCCCAGGUCAUGGAAGCUCAGUGGGCAAGCCGUGUCCCGGGGUGACCCAAACAGAGAGUUAUUUCAAGAUGAAAAGAGCCAACAUCUGGGGAAGGAGAACCCACACAUUCCACAACAUCCCUGCCCCCGAUGUCCCUAAAACUGUCACCACGAGCAUCACCCUGGGUGUUUGUGUUCUUAUCACAACAGGUGUUACAAGUGUGUAUUAUCCAGCUGUUGGGCAGCUUACUAAGGUCUCAGGGGACCACGCAUUGGAGAGGCCACCAGGGAGGGUGACGGGGUGGGACUGAGACCAGCCUAGGGUUGCCAGAUGGAGAGAAUAAAAAUGCCGGGUGCCCGGUUGCAUUUGAAUUUCAGCUCUAAGCAACUCAUGAUCUUAGUAGAAGUAUAUCCAUGCAACCUCUGAACCUCUGGGACAUACUGAUACUAAAAAAAAAAAAA
Non-coding RNA from Sus scrofa (pig), 1364 nucleotides. NCBI's taxonomy places the organism in Eukaryota, Metazoa, Chordata, Mammalia, Artiodactyla, Suidae. The record is from RefSeq and is a predicted model, not a curated record.